This 224-nucleotide ribosomal RNA is filed under the name Chartergellus atectus. RNAcentral describes it as "partial small subunit ribosomal RNA". Lineage: Eukaryota; Metazoa; Arthropoda; Insecta; Hymenoptera; Vespidae. The record is from RNAcentral.
AUAAAUCAUUAAAUUUAAAAGAUUUGGCUGUAUUUUUUAGGAUUAGAGGAAUCUGUUUAUUAAUUGAUAAUCCACGAUAAGAGAUACUUAUUAUUUAUGUAUUGCUGUUUAUAGAAUAUUAUUAAUUAAAUAUUUAAAUUUUUAAUUUAAUUUAUUUCAAGUCAAAAUAUAGUAUAAUUAAGUAAUGGAUUACAAUUUAAUUUUGAAAUUGGAUUUAAAAGUAA